Molecule: non-coding RNA, 24 nt
Filed under: Rattus norvegicus (Norway rat)
Lineage: Eukaryota; Metazoa; Chordata; Mammalia; Rodentia; Muridae
Source: RNAcentral
UCCAGCCUUGCUUACUGAAGGGGG